GGACUACCGGGGUUUCUAAUCCUGUUUGCUCCCCACGCUUUCGCGCCUCAGCGUCAGUUGAAGACCAGGUUGCCGCCUUCGCCACCGGUGUUCUUUCCAAUAUCUACGAAUUUCACCUCUACACUGGAAAUUCCACAACCCUCUUCUCCACUCAAGUCUACACGUCUCAAAUGCAGUCCCCAGGUUGAGCCCAGGAAUUUCACAUCUGACUGUAUAAACCGCCUACGCGCCCUUUACGCCCAGUCAUUCCGAGCAACGCUAGCCCCCUUCGUAUUACCGCGGCUGCUGGCAC
This 292-nucleotide ribosomal RNA is filed under the name uncultured bacterium. RNAcentral describes it as "partial 16S ribosomal RNA". The record is from RNAcentral.